RNAcentral lists this transfer RNA (71 nucleotides) under Marmota monax (woodchuck). It matches the Rfam family "tRNA". Rfam says of the family: Transfer RNA (tRNA) molecules are approximately 80 nucleotides in length. Their secondary structure includes four short double-helical elements and three loops (D, anti-codon, and T loops). Lineage: Eukaryota; Metazoa; Chordata; Mammalia; Rodentia; Sciuridae. The record is from Rfam by way of RNAcentral.
AGAAAUGUAGCUCAGUGGUAGAGCAGUCGCCUAACAUGUAAAGGCCCUGGGUUUGAACCUCAGCAUUGCAA